GAUGAACGCUGGCGGCGUGCCUAAUACAUGCAAGUCGAACGAGGUGCUUGAGUAGCAAUACGAGAGUAUCCUAGUGGCGAACGGGUGAGUAACGCGUUGGUGACCUACCCCAAAGUGUGGGAUAACAGUUCGAAAGGAUUGCUAAUACCGCAUGUGGUCUUCGGAUUUAGAAACUGAUGACUAAAGGAGCAAUUCGCUUUGGGAGGGACCUGCGUCCCAUCAGCUAGUUGGUGAGGUAAUGGCUCACCAAGGCUACGACGGGUAGGGGACCUGAGAGGGUGACCCCCCACAAUGGAACUGAAACACGGUCCAUACACCUACGGGUGGCAGCAGUAGGGAAUAUUGCACAAUGGGCGAAAAGCCUGAUGCAGCAACGCCGCGUGUGCGAUGAAGGCCUGGGUCGUAAAGCACUUUCUGAGGAGUGAGCAAGGACAGUACCU
RNAcentral lists this ribosomal RNA (440 nucleotides) under uncultured bacterium. RNAcentral's name for it is "bacterial SSU rRNA". It matches the Rfam family "Bacterial small subunit ribosomal RNA", at positions 28 to 480 of the family's 1533-position model. The record is from RNAcentral.